GUGCGUUAGCCUACCUCUGCGAAAAUCAUUAGCGCCGUUUAUGUUUUUUUUUUUUUUUGCAUUAAUUAUCUGAAAUUUUAGGGUUUCUAGCUGUUAUAUUUUUUGCUACUUUCUUGUCUUUUAUUACGUGUUUUGUGGUUUAUGGAAUUUUAGGCUAUUGCUUAAAGAAUGCAAAAUGUAUAUUACAACUCAUUAAUAUUAAUGAAAAUUCGCCUUGUUUCCUAU
Molecule: long non-coding RNA, 225 nt
Filed under: Brassica napus (rape)
Lineage: Eukaryota; Viridiplantae; Streptophyta; Magnoliopsida; Brassicales; Brassicaceae
Description: long non-coding RNA (BNAP_LNC020094)
Source: RNAcentral